GAUGAACGCUGGCGGUAUGCUUAACACAUGCAAGUCGAACGAAGUCUUCGGACUUAGUGGCGGACGGGUGAGUAACGCGUAAGAAUCUACCUAUAGGUUCGGGACAACAGUUAGAAAUGACUGCUAAUACCGCAUGAGAUCUACGGAUGAAAGCAGGGGAUCGCAAGACCUUGCGCGAUUGGAGCGGCUGAUGUCAGAUUAGGUAGUUGGUGGGGUAAAAGCCUACCAAGCCGACGAUCUGUAGCUGGUUUGAGAGAACGACCAGCCACACUGGGACUGAGACACGGCCCAGACUCCUACGGGAGGCAGCAGUGGGGAAUUUUGGACAAUGGGCGAAAGCCUGAUCCAGCAAUGCCGCGUGCAGGAAGAAGGCCUUCGGGUUGUAAACUGCUUUUGUACGGAACGAAACGGUCUGGGCUAAUACCCCGGGCUAAUGACGGUACCGUAAGAAUAAGCACCGGCUAACUACGUG
RNAcentral lists this ribosomal RNA (472 nucleotides) under uncultured bacterium. Its description in RNAcentral is "bacterial SSU rRNA". It matches the Rfam family "Bacterial small subunit ribosomal RNA", at positions 28 to 507 of the family's 1533-position model. The record is from RNAcentral.